UAGGCCAUACAGUAGUAGCAGCAGCAACCGCAGGCAUCUGUGUGGCUGGAAAGAGCAUCAUUGGAGUUCCAGAAUCUAACGAUCGGGUGGCCCACUUGGGCCAGUCGCCCUAUAUCCCUCAGAAAGGGAAAGCAGAGGGCGGAGAGCCCUCUAUCUGAUCACGAUUCCACCCCCGCAGGGUUCCUACCUCUGUUCUGCCAGAAGACCCUCAAGAUUCAUGAUCGAGAGGAUCUCUUGGAUCAAAGGUUCCAAGAGAUGAACCGAU
RNAcentral lists this long non-coding RNA (265 nucleotides) under Elaeis guineensis (African oil palm). Its description in RNAcentral is "long non-coding RNA (EGUI_LNC051556)". The record is from RNAcentral. Lineage: Eukaryota; Viridiplantae; Streptophyta; Magnoliopsida; Arecales; Arecaceae.